Molecule: ribosomal RNA, 468 nt
Filed under: Salmonella enterica
Lineage: Bacteria; Pseudomonadati; Pseudomonadota; Gammaproteobacteria; Enterobacterales; Enterobacteriaceae
Also listed under: 1 other name
Description: partial 23S ribosomal RNA
Rfam family: Bacterial large subunit ribosomal RNA
Source: RNAcentral
CAUCAGGAGGUUAGUGCAAUGGCAUAAGCCAGCUUGACUGCGAGCGUGACGGCGCGAGCAGGUGCGAAAGCAGGUCAUAGUGAUCCGGUGGUUCUGAAUGGAAGGGCCAUCGCUCAACGGAUAAAAGGUACUCCGGGGAUAACAGGCUGAUACCGCCCAAGAGUUCAUAUCGACGGCGGUGUUUGGCACCUCGAUGUCGGCUCAUCACAUCCUGGGGCUGAAGUAGGUCCCAAGGGUAUGGCUGUUCGCCAUUUAAAGUGGUACGCGAGCUGGGUUUAGAACGUCGUGAGACAGUUCGGUCCCUAUCUGCCGUGGGCGCUGGAGAACUGAGGGGGGCUGCUCCUAGUACGAGAGGACCGGAGUGGACGCAUCACUGGUGUUCGGGUUGUCAUGCCAAUGGCACUGCCCGGUAGCUAAAUGCGGAAGAGAUAAGUGCUGAAAGCAUCUAAGCACGAAACUUGCCCCGAG